This 461-nucleotide long non-coding RNA is filed under the name Neogobius melanostomus (round goby). Its description in RNAcentral is "lncRNA (ENSNMLG00000007514.1)". The record is from RNAcentral. Lineage: Eukaryota; Metazoa; Chordata; Actinopteri; Gobiiformes; Gobiidae.
CAGCAGCAAGGAAAGCCCUGCACACAUUUCUAUUCAGACAACGUGCCUGCGUUCAAUGAACGAUGUCUUGGAGGAAGCGAGAGUUGAAAAGCACAGACUGUGGGAGAGAUAGAAAUGCUUCAAAACAAUAGCUACAACCCCUACACCGCAAGCAGCUGUACCUUGUGGCCGCGGAGCGGUCUGAGGAGUAGAGGAGCCCGUAGUUUUCUUCGGCCACACGGGUCUAACCUGCUGGGUGCCAGCAGCAGACGCGGCGGGAGCCUGGGGCUUUGGUCGUCGCGGGAUGCAGAAGGAGGGAUUAGCCGGCCUGUUGAAACCCGCUUGGGCCAAGUUGGACCUCGGAGUCGACUGAGUGGCGGGCAUCUCACACGGGAGACAGAGCUGAAGGGCUUCAUCAUCUGGUUUUUUUGCUUCGCACCACUGUUGCAUUAAGGUAAGAGCAGAGCCAAAAAUCCCCUCUG